RNAcentral lists this ribosomal RNA (465 nucleotides) under Vreelandella stevensii. RNAcentral describes it as "partial 16S ribosomal RNA". It matches the Rfam family "Bacterial small subunit ribosomal RNA", at positions 338 to 795 of the family's 1533-position model. Lineage: Bacteria; Pseudomonadati; Pseudomonadota; Gammaproteobacteria; Oceanospirillales; Halomonadaceae. The record is from RNAcentral.
CCUACGGGGUGCAGCAGUGGGGAAUAUUGGACAAUGGGCGAAAGCCUGAUCCAGCCAUGCCGCGUGUGUGAAGAAGGCCUUCGGGUUGUAAAGCACUUUCAGUGGGGAAGAAAGCCUUGGGGCUAAUACCCUCGAGGAAGGACAUCACCCACAGAAGAAGCACCGGCUAACUCCGUGCCAGCAGCCGCGGUAAUACGGAGGGUGCGAGCGUUAAUCGGAAUUACUGGGCGUAAAGCGCGCGUAGGCGGUCUGAUAAGCCGGUUGUGAAAGCCCCGGGCUCAACCUGGGAACGGCAUCCGGAACUGUCAGGCUAGAGUGCAGGAGAGGAAGGUAGAAUUCCCGGUGGAGCGGUGAAAUGCGUAGAGAUCGGGAGGAAUACCAGUGGCGAAGGCGGCCUUCUGGACUGACACUGACGCUGAGGUGCGAAAGCGUGGGUAGCAAACAGGAUUAGAUACCCGUGUAGUC